Molecule: ribosomal RNA, 331 nt
Filed under: Babesia occultans
Lineage: Eukaryota; Apicomplexa; Aconoidasida; Piroplasmida; Babesiidae
Description: SSU rRNA
Rfam family: Eukaryotic small subunit ribosomal RNA
Source: RNAcentral
UGUCUUGUAAUUGGAAUGAUGGUGACUUAAACCCUCACCAGAGUACCAAUUGGAGGGCAAGUCUGGUGCCAGCAGCCGCGGUAAUUCCAGCUCCAAUAGCGUAUAUUAAACUUGUUGCAGUUAAAAAGCUCGUAGUUGAAUUUCAGCGUUUCGCGUGUGCCUCUUUUGGCCCAUCUCGUCUCGCUUUUUUUAUUACUUUGAGAAAAUUAGAGUGUUUCAAGCAGGCUUUUGUCUUGAAUACUUGAGCAUGGAAUAAUAGAGUAGGACCUUGGUUCUAUUUUGUUGGUUUUGUUACCUUGGUAAUGGUUAAUAGGAACGGUUGGGGGCAUUC